This 807-nucleotide ribosomal RNA is filed under the name Darkera picea. Its description in RNAcentral is "eukaryotic LSU rRNA". It matches the Rfam family "Eukaryotic large subunit ribosomal RNA", at positions 88 to 912 of the family's 3401-position model. The record is from RNAcentral. Lineage: Eukaryota; Fungi; Ascomycota; Leotiomycetes; Phacidiales; Phacidiaceae.
GGCGAGUGAAGCGGCAACAGCUCAAAUUUGAAAUCUGGCCCCCUCGGGGCCCGAGUUGUAAUUUGUAGAGGAUGUUUCGGGUGUGGCUCCGGUCUAAGUUCCUUGGAACAGGACGUCAUAGAGGGUGAGAAUCCCGUAUGUGACUGGCAGCCUACGCCCAUGUGAAACUCCUUCGACGAGUCGAGUUGUUUGGGAAUGCAGCUCAAAAUGGGUGGUAAAUUUCAUCUAAAGCUAAAUAUUGGCCAGAGACCGAUAGCGCACAAGUAGAGUGAUCGAAAGAUGAAAAGCACUUUGGAAAGAGAGUUAAACAGUACGUGAAAUUGUUGAAAGGGAAGCGCUUGCAACCAGACUUGCGUGCGGCCGAUCAUCCGGUGUUCUCACCGGUGCACUCGGUCGUGCUCAGGCCAGCAUCGGUUUCGGCGGCUGGAUAAAGGCCAUGGGAAUGUAGCUCCUCUCGGGGAGUGUUAUAGCCCGUGGUGCAAUGCAGCCCGCUGGGACCGAGGACCGCGCUUCGGCUAGGAUGCUGGCGUAAUGGUUGUAAGCGACCCGUCUUGAAACACGGACCAAGGAGUCUAACAUCUAUGCGAGUGUUUGGGUGUCAAACCCAUACGCGGAAUGAAAGUGAACGGAGGUGAGAACCCUUAAGGGUGCAUCAUCGACCGAUCCUGAUGUCUUCGGAUGGAUUUGAGUAAGAGCAUAGCUGUUGGGACCCGAAAGAUGGUGAACUAUGCCUGAAUAGGGUGAAGCCAGAGGAAACUCUGGUGGAGGCUCGCAGCGGUUCUGACGUGCAAAUCGAUCGUCAAAUUU